CGGCAGCGCGGGCGGGGGUAACCUCGCCUGGCGGAGUGGUGAGUAAUAUAUCGGAACGUACCCAAGAGUGGGGGAUAACGUAGCGAAAGUUAGCUAAUACCGCAUACGAUCCACGGAUGAAAGUGGGGGACCGCAAGGCCUCACGCUCCUGGAGCGGCCGAUGUCUGAUUAGCUAGUUGGUGAGGUAAAGGCUCACCAAGGCGACGAUCAGUAGCUGGUCUGAGAGGACGACCAGCCACACUGGGACUGAGACACGGCCCAGACUCCUACGGGAGGCAGCAGUGGGGAAUUUUGGACAAUGGGCGCAAGCCUGAUCCAGCAAUGCCGCGUGAGUGAAGAAGGCCUUCGGGUUGUAAAGCUCUUUUGUCCGGGAAGAAAUCGCUGUGGUGAAUAACUAUGGCGGAUGACGGUACUGGAAGAAUAAGCACCGGCUAACUACGUGCCAGCAGCCGCGGUAAUACGUAGGGUGCAAGCGUUAAUCGGAAUUACUGGGCGUAGAGCGUGCGCAGGCGGUUUUCCAAGACAGAUGUGAAAUCCCCGGGCUCAACCUGGGAAUGGCAUUUGUGACUGGGAGCUAGAGUGGUCAGAGGUAGAAUUCCACGUGUAGCAGUGAAAUGCGUA
Molecule: ribosomal RNA, 621 nt
Filed under: uncultured Massilia sp.
Lineage: Bacteria; Pseudomonadati; Pseudomonadota; Betaproteobacteria; Burkholderiales; Oxalobacteraceae
Description: bacterial SSU rRNA
Rfam family: Bacterial small subunit ribosomal RNA
Source: RNAcentral